ACAAGGGGCCGGCAGCUCUUUGCAAUUCCCACACAGUCACCCACUGAAGCUAAGCAGGGCUGCGCCUGGUCAGUACCUGGAUGGGAGACCACACAGAAAAAACUAGGUUGCUCCCAGAU
Ribosomal RNA from Danio rerio (zebrafish), 119 nucleotides. NCBI's taxonomy places the organism in Eukaryota, Metazoa, Chordata, Actinopteri, Cypriniformes, Danionidae. The record is from Ensembl.